This is a long non-coding RNA of Bos indicus x Bos taurus (hybrid cattle), 197 nucleotides long. The record is from Ensembl. Lineage: Eukaryota; Metazoa; Chordata; Mammalia; Artiodactyla; Bovidae.
CAUUGAGUGGCACGUGAGAUCUUAGGUCCCAGACCAGGGAUUGAACCCAUGCCCUGUGUUGUAGAAAGGAGGAAUCUUAACCAGUGAACCACCAUUGGAGUCUCUUGAUUGAGUUGUUUUUCUGAGAAUAAAUUUGAAGCUUCAUUUCAGCUGUCACAGAUAUGGAGGAAAGAGAGGCUAAAGUGUGGGUUUCGCUU